Molecule: ribosomal RNA, 253 nt
Filed under: uncultured bacterium
Lineage: Bacteria
Description: partial 16S ribosomal RNA
Rfam family: Bacterial small subunit ribosomal RNA
Source: RNAcentral
UACAGAGGUCUCAAGCGUUGUUCGGAUUCAUUGGGCGUAAAGGGCGCGUAGGCGGCGCGGUAAGUCGGGUGUGAAAUCUUGGAGCUUAACUCCGAGACUGCAUUCGAUACUGCCGUGCUUGAGGACUGGAGAGGAGACUGGAAUUUACGGUGUAGCGGUGAAAUGCGUAGAUAUCGGAAGGAAGACCAGUGGCGAAGGCGGGUCUCUGGACAGUUCCUGACGCUGAGGCACGAAGGCCAGGGGAGCAAACGGG